This 379-nucleotide unclassified non-coding RNA is filed under the name uncultured Actinomycetes bacterium. RNAcentral describes it as "uncultured actinobacterium contains 16S-23S intergenic spacer region". The record is from RNAcentral. Lineage: Bacteria; Bacillati; Actinomycetota; Actinomycetes.
UCCGAGUUGACCCCGGCAGUCUCCUAUGAGUCCCCACCAUCACGUGCUGGCAACAUAGAACGAGGGUUGCGCUCGUUGCGGGACUUAACCCAACAUCUCACGACACGAGCUGACGACAACCAUGCACCACCUGUGAACCGGCCCCAAAGGGGAAACCACAUUUCUGCGGCGAUCCGGCCCAUGUCAAGCCUUGGUAAGGUUCUUCGCGUUGCAUCGAAUUAAGCCACAUACUCCACCGCUUGUGCAGGCCCCCGUCAAUUCCUUUGAGUUUCAACCUUGCGGCCGUACUCCCCAGGCGGAGUGCUUACUGCGUUAGCUUCGGCACGGACGGAGUCGACACCGCCCACACCUAGCACCCAUCGUUUACGGCGUGGACUAC